ACGCCUUAUACAUGCAAGUCGAACGAAGUAGCAAUACUUAGUGGCAGACGGGUGAGUAACAUGUGGGUAUCUUCCCUUUGGUGAGGAAUAACACGAGGAAACUUGUGCUAAUACCUCAUAAGUCUUUACGGAGAAAGCUUUAUGCGCCAAUGGAUGAGCCCGCACUUGAUUAGUUUGUUGGUGGGGUAAUGGCCUACCAAGGCUUUGAUCAAUAGCUGAUUUGAGAGGAUGAUCAGCCACAUUGGGACUGAGACACGGCCCAAACUCCUACGGGAGGCAGCAGUAAGGAAUCUUGCACAAUGGAGGAAACUCUGAUGCAGCGAUGCCGCGUGAGUGAAGAAGGCCUUUGGGUUGUAAAGCUCUUUCGUCGGGGAAGAAAAUGACUGUACCCGAAUAAGAAGGUCCGGCUAACUUCGUGCCAGCAGCCGCGGUAAUACGAAGGGACCUAGCGUAGUUCGGAAUUACUGGGCUUAAAGAGUUCGUAGGUGGUUAAAAAAGUUGGUGGUGAAAUCCCAGAGCUUAACUCUGGAACUGCCAUCAAAACUUUUUAGCUAGAGUAUGAUAGAGGAAAGCAGAAUUUCUAGUGUAGAGGUGAAAUUCGUAGAUAUUAGAAAGAAUACCAAUUGCGAAGGCAGCUUUCUGGAUCAUUACUGACGCUGAGGAACGAAAGCAUGGGUAGCGAAGAGGAUUAGAUACCCUCGUAGUCCAUGCCGUAAACGAUGUGUGUUAGACGUUGGAAAUUUAUUUUCAGUGUCGCAGCGAAAGCGAUAAACACACCGCCUGGGGAG
RNAcentral lists this ribosomal RNA (788 nucleotides) under uncultured Pelagibacteraceae bacterium. RNAcentral's name for it is "bacterial SSU rRNA". It matches the Rfam family "Bacterial small subunit ribosomal RNA", at positions 44 to 880 of the family's 1533-position model. Lineage: Bacteria; Pseudomonadati; Pseudomonadota; Alphaproteobacteria; Candidatus Pelagibacterales; Candidatus Pelagibacteraceae. The record is from RNAcentral.